This 21-nucleotide non-coding RNA is filed under the name Caenorhabditis elegans. Lineage: Eukaryota; Metazoa; Nematoda; Chromadorea; Rhabditida; Rhabditidae. The record is from RNAcentral.
UUUGAACAACAUUUGAAAUCG